Molecule: long non-coding RNA, 263 nt
Filed under: Carica papaya (papaya)
Lineage: Eukaryota; Viridiplantae; Streptophyta; Magnoliopsida; Brassicales; Caricaceae
Description: long non-coding RNA (CPAP_LNC005962)
Source: RNAcentral
UCCAAACGUACUAAAUGUAUGAAAGAAUAAACUAAAUAAAGUAAAUACUAGAGAUGAAUGUUAUAAAUAAAACUAUGAAAUCUUUAGACAUCUACUCGCCGUCUUCCUGCGAGACGAGCUCGGGAACCAAGUCUUCCUGAUCUAAAAUAGUUAAGUAAGGAAUGAGCUACACUAGCCCAGUAAAGACAUCACACUAUCUCACUGUCACAGAAGUAAAUGUUGGUAGAAAACAAAAACGACCAAUGGAGCAUAAUUUAUAACAA